AGAGUUUGAUCAUGGCUCAGAUUGAACGCUGGCGGCAGGCCUAACACAUGCAAGUCGAACGGUAACAGGAAGCAGCUUGCUGCUUUGCUGACGAGUGGCGGACGGGUGAGUAAUGUCUGGGAAACUGCCUGAUGGAGGGGGAUAACUACUGGAAACGGUAGCUAAUACCGCAUAACGUCGCAAGACCAAAGAGGGGGACCUUCGGGCCUCUUGCCAUCGGAUGUGCCCAGAUGGGAUUAGCUAGUAGGUGGGGUAACGGCUCACCUAGGCGACGAUCCCUAGCUGGUCUGAGAGGAUGACCAGCCACACUGGAACUGAGACACGGUCCAGACUCCUACGGGAGGCAGCAGUGGGGAAUAUUGCACAAUGGGCGCAAGCCUGAUGCAGCCAUGCCGCGUGUAUGAAGAAGGCCUUCGGGUUGUAAAGUACUUUCAGCGGGGAGGAAGGGAGUAAAGUUAAUACCUUUGCUCAUUGACGUUACCCGCAGAAGAAGCACCGGCUAACUCCGUGCCAGCAGCCGCGGUAAUACGGAGGGUGCAAGCGUUAAUCGGAAUUACUGGGCGUAAAGCGCACGCAGGCGGUUUGUUAAGUCAGAUGUGAAAUCCCCGGGCUCAACCUGGGAACUGCAUCUGAUACUGGCAAGCUUGAGUCUCGUAGAGGGGGGUAGAAUUCCAGGUGUAGCGGUGAAAUGCGUAGAGAUCUGGAGGAAUACCGGUGGCGAAGGCGGCCCCCUGGACGAAGACUGACGCUCAGGUGCGAAAGCGUGGGGAGCAAACAGGAUUAGAUACCCUGGUAGUCCACGCCGUAAACGAUGUCGACUUGGAGGUUGUGCCCUUGAGGCGUGGCUUCCGGAGCUAACGUGUUAAGUCGACCGCCUGGGGAGUACGGCCGCAAGGUUAAAACUCAAAUGAAUUGACGGGGGCCCGCACAAGCGGUGGAGCAUGUGGUUUAAUUCGAUGCAACGCGAAGAACCUUACCUGGUCUUGACAUCCACGGAAGUUUUCAGAGAUGAGAAUGUGCCUUCGGGAACCGUGAGACAGGUGCUGCAUGGCUGUCGUCAGCUCGUGUUGUGAAAUGUUGGGUUAAGUCCCGCAACGAGCGCAACCCUUAUCCUUUGUUGCCAGCGGUCCGGCCGGGAACUCAAAGGAGACUGCCAGUGAUAAACUGGAGGAAGGUGGGGAUGACGUCAAGUCAUCAUGGCCCUUACGACCAGGGCUACACACGUGCUACAAUGGCGCAUACAAAGAGAAGCGACCUCGCGAGAGCAAGCGGACCUCAUAAAGUGCGUCGUAGUCCGGAUUGGAGUCUGCAACUCGACUCCAUGAAGUCGGAAUCGCUAGUAAUCGUGGAUCAGAAUGCCACGGUGAAUACGUUCCCGGGCCUUGUACACACCGCCCGUCACACCAUGGGAGUGGGUUGCAAAAGAAGUAGGUAGCUUAACCUUCGGGAGGGCGCUUACCACUUUGUGAUUCAUGACUGGGGUGAAGUCGUAACAAGGUAACCGUAGGGGAACCUGCGGUUGGAUCACCU
Molecule: ribosomal RNA, 1530 nt
Filed under: Escherichia coli
Lineage: Bacteria; Pseudomonadati; Pseudomonadota; Gammaproteobacteria; Enterobacterales; Enterobacteriaceae
Also listed under: 9 other names
Description: bacterial SSU rRNA
Rfam family: Bacterial small subunit ribosomal RNA
Source: RNAcentral